This 791-nucleotide ribosomal RNA is filed under the name uncultured bacterium. RNAcentral's name for it is "bacterial SSU rRNA". It matches the Rfam family "Bacterial small subunit ribosomal RNA", at positions 8 to 796 of the family's 1533-position model. The record is from RNAcentral.
AGAGUUUGAUCAUGGCUCAGAUUGAACGCUGGCGGCAUGCCUUACACAUGCAAGUCGGACGGCAGCGCGGGGGCAACCCUGGCGGCGAGUGGCGAACGGGUGAGUAAGACAUCGGAACGUGUCCUGGAGUGGGGGAUAGCCCGGCGAAAGCCGGAUUAAUACCGCAUACGAUCCGAGGAUGAAAGCGGGGGACCGAAAGGCCUCGCGCUCAAGGAGCGGCCGAUGGCGGAUUAGCUAGUUGGUGAGGUAAAGGCUCACCAAGGCGACGAUCCGUAGCUGGUCUGAGAGGACGACCAGCCACACUGGGACUGAGACACGGCCCAGACUCCUACGGGAGGCAGCAGUGGGGAAUUUUGGACAAUGGGCGCAAGCCUGAUCCAGCAAUGCCGCGUGUGUGAAGAAGGCCUUCGGGUUGUAAAGCACUUUUGUCCGGAAAGAAAACUUCGUCCCUAACAUGGAUGGAGGCUGACGGUACCGGAAGAAUAAGCACCGGCUAACUACGUGCCAGCAGCCGCGGUAAUACGUAGGGUGCGAGCGUUAAUCGGAAUUACUGGGCGUAAAGCGUGCGCAGGCGGUGAUGUAAGACCGAUGUGAAAUCCCCGGGCUUAACCUGGGAACUGCAUUGGUGACUGCAUUGCUGGAGUAUGGCAGAGGGGGGUGGAAUUCCACGUAGCAGUGAAAUGCGUAGAGAUGUGGAGGAACACCGAUGGCGAAGGCAGCCCCCUGGGCCAAUACUGACGCUCAUGCACGAAAGCGUGGGGAGCAAACAGGAUUAGAUACCCCCGUAGUCC